AGAGCUACGGUGACACUUCGCGUGCGGUGUAGGCGCAUCUUCGCUCUGUUGGCCGUGGCUUUAGUAAGCACACACCUGCCUGCUACUCUGGUUAUCGUGGCGACGGCAGGUCUGGAUUGCCAGACAGGUUUUUCUUUUUACCUCGAGGCUUUCUCUGAAGGGAGUCGGAGCAUUUAAAAGGCGGCCUCAAGGUGGAUUGAGUCGGGGGAGGAUUAGCAGUAUUUGCUUAGGUUGUAAAACCGCGACUUUAUCUAAUAAAUCGCCAUUCAAGGUGCAAAUACAAACUUGGAACAGAGGUGCGUGACAUGUACCCCUUUUGUCCUAAAGUCAAGAAUCAAUAAUGUGACUUAGCCCUAUUAUCUUGCCUCUAAUUAAGCGAUUCUCACUUAUUCUUUCUCUAUUGCUAAUUCUCACGUUACAUUUCCCCUUUUCUGUGUCCACCUUUCUCUUUUGCGCAUUGAUAUAGGAAGUGUUUUGUAAUAGGCUGUAGCUUUUUCUCUUACUGUUAUAAAAACCAGGACAUAUAGCAUUACUACAAAAUGAGAUACUCCGUAAACACUUUAAAAGUGCCAGCUAUUUAAUGACCCAAGAAAAUACUCGUGAUAUAAAAGUUGACUAAGUCAGGAUAUUAGAGUAGUGUAGCGACUAUAGAAGUACAAUAUAGAGCGCAACUAAAAAGUGAAAAUGGUAACUCUGCUGACCGGAUGAAGGAUUUUUUUUUCUGUUUCUUUGCACUUUUCUGUAUUUUCCAAAAUUUCUAUAAUAGGCGUUAUGUUAUUUGUAAAAUUUAAACAAUAUAUACAAUCCAUAUUAUACUGACAUCUUUGAAAUCCAGGCCAGAGAGUAAAUCAUAUCAUUUGAAAACAAAUUACUUUUUUUUAGGCUUAGUCUGCAGUAAUGCCUUAAAGAAGGUAAACUGAGGAAAGAGAAAAUAAAGAGUGCUUGGUCCUCAUAAUUUACCGUUAAGCUGGGCUCUGUGGCUCACGCCUGUAAUCCCAACACUUUGGGAGGCCGAGGCGGGUGGAUCACCUGAGGUCAGGAGUUCGAGACCAGCCUGGCCAACAUGAUGAAAUCCCGUCUUUACCAAAACUACAAAAUUAGCUGGGCGUGGUGGCCGCGCCUGUAAUCCCAGCUACUCGGGAGGCUGAGGCAGGAGAAUCACUUGAACCCGGGAGGCGGAGGUUGCAGUGAGCCAAGAUCCGCCAUUGCACUCCAGCCUGGGCAACAAGAACGAAACUCCAUCUCAAAAAAAAAAAAAAAAAUUUUACAGUUAAAUGUUUUUUUUCAAAAUGACCACAAGUUUCAAAAAUGUGAGCCAAUCACAUGUUUACUAGGCAGAGUUUAGAGUGAUAUAAUACUUGCUGCCUUCUAAUAACCGACUUGCUUGGGUUUGCUCUUACAUGACAUUCAUGCUCAAAUUCUUAGCACUACUGACAUACUUAGGUCUAUAUUUUGUUUUGAUCUGUUAAGUUUACCUUCAACCCCAGGCUCAAAUGGAAAACAAUCUAUCACAGUUAAUGGAGAAGGCUUUGAGUCCUUUUAUUUUGCUAAGUUCUGUUAGUAAAAAUGUAUGCCACAAUAUGGGCAUAUUGCGAAAGUACAUAUAAGGCAGGUUUUUCCUCCCCAUUUCUGCCUAUAUCAUCAUGCCCACUAAAUUUGAUAAUUAUUUAACUGAUCUGCUAUUCCAGCACUCUGUAUAUAUGGUCAUUUUACCUUCAAUUUUUUGUUUUUGUUCUAGUGAUCUGAGUGAUUGUGAUGUAUUUAUCUGCUUCCUUUUUCUUUAUUUUUGUUUGUUCAUAGGAAAAUGAGUUAAUCCCUUGUCUCUUUUUUUAUUAGAAAUUCGAUUUUGACUGAAACAUUUACAGAAUUGAAACCUCCUGAGAUUCUUCUCUAAAACUUAACAUUUUCAGAUGAGGUCCACAUGGAUGAAAUUGCUUUUCCAGAUCUCUUGUCAGUAACCCACUGCUCCCUGACUUCACACCCCACCUCCACUCUAACUGCUUUGCUAGUUAAUCCCCACUCAUCCUUCAAGAUUCAGAUGUAAAUGAAUUCCUCAAGGUCAGAGACUGUUUUUAUUCAUUUCUACAUCUCCAACACCUGGCAAAGUGCCUCGGCCAUAAAAGAUAAUCUGCCUCUGAAACCUUCCGUGGGCACAGAAAUUUCUGCAAGGAAAGCAUCAGCAACCAGAAUAAUUUGAUUGCAUUUGGGUUUAAACAGAGGACUUAAUCAUAGCAUGGACAGAAAAGGCUCACCAUCUAUCUAAAUGACUCUGAUUGCACCAUCAUCCUCAUUGUUCUUGUGGAGUCUCGCUCUGUCGCCCAGGCUGGGGUGGAGUGACGCGAUCUCGGCUCACCGCAAGCUCCGCCUCCCGGGUUCACGCCAUUCUCCUGUCUCAGCCUCCCCAGUAGCUGGGACUACAGGCGUCCACCACCACGCCCGGCUAAUUUUUUGUACUUUUAGUAGAGACGGGUUUCACCGUGUCAGCCAGGAUGGUCUCGAUCUCCUGACCUCGUGAUCUGCCCGCCUCAGCCUCCC
This 2535-nucleotide long non-coding RNA is filed under the name Homo sapiens (human). RNAcentral's name for it is "non-protein coding lnc-SENP6-3:10". The record is from RNAcentral. Lineage: Eukaryota; Metazoa; Chordata; Mammalia; Primates; Hominidae.